This 42926-nucleotide long non-coding RNA is filed under the name Glycine max (soybean). RNAcentral's name for it is "long non-coding RNA (GMAX_LNC003540)". The record is from RNAcentral. Lineage: Eukaryota; Viridiplantae; Streptophyta; Magnoliopsida; Fabales; Fabaceae.
GGGAGAAUGGUUUACUGAAGAAGGCAAUGUGGUGCCCCUUCUACGGCAAGAUUGCUCCCAUCCCACUACCAGAAGCAUCUGUUUCUACGGUGAAAGGGACUUCAAAGUCCAGAAGAGACAACACAGGGGCCGUCGUAAGUGCUUCCUUCAACCUGCAAAAGCAUUCUACGUGUCCAGGGUCCACUUAAAAGAGUCUAGAGUGGUGGCCUUGAUGAGAGGUGCAACAAUGGAAGCAUAGCCACGGAAAAAAUGACAGCAGAAAUCCGCCAAGCCCAAGAAGCUUCGAAUGGCCCUUAUGGACUGAGGCAUAGGCCAGUCUUGAAUGGCCUAUACCUUCGAAGACACAGGCGCGACUCCCAUGACUGAUAACACAUGGCCUAGAUACUCCACCUGAGUCUGGGCGAAGGAGCAUUUUGCACAUUUGAGAAUGAACUGGCAGUCUACAAGGACUUGAAACACAGUUGCCAAGUGGGACAAAUGCCCUUCAAGAAUACUGUAUAUGAGGAUGUCGUCGAAGAAGACGAUAACAAAGCAGUAGAGGUAUGGCCGGAAAAUCGAAUUCAUUGUCACCUGAAAUGAUGAUGGGGCAUUACAAAGCCCCAAAGGCAUCACCCAAAAAUUCAAAAUGACCGUGAUGAGUACGGAAAGCGGUGUUGCUGAUAUCAACUUCAUUCAUACGUAUCUGGUGGUACCCCUGAAACAGGUCUAGCUUCGAAAACCAAUUGGCACCCCCUAAUUCGUCCAGUAGUUCAUCUAUGUUGGGUAUCGGAAAAUGAUCUUUGAUCGUUAUGGCAUUCAAGGCACGAUAAUCUACACAGAGACGCCAUGAACCAUCAUUUUUUCGCACCAAGAGAACAGGAGAUGAAAAUGGACUCGUGCUUGGUCUGAUAAUCCUCUUCUGUAGCAUCGAAGCAACCUGCGUUUCAAUUUCCUGCUUUUGAUAGUGUGGGUAGUGAUAUGGGCGUACAUUAACAGGUUCAAAAUGAGGUUGUAAGUGAAUGUGGUGGUCAUGUGGUCUGGACGGCAGCAAGGCUUGGGGUUCAUGAAAGAGGAUGUGGAAUUGGUCUAAAAGGAUUUAAACUAGUGAUGGAAGUUGGGGGUUGGUAAUUCAAAGAAGACUCUGAGGGAGUAAUUGCGAUGUGGAAACAGGCACUCACUCCCUGCUUCCGGACAAUACGGCGGAGCUGGGGUGAGGUGACGAGAAUAGAAGCAGGAUUAGGGUCCCCGUGAAGCUCGAAUAAGUGUCCUUCGUGGAAAAGUUUCAUGGUUAAGGCACUAUAAUCAGUCAUGAUAGGUCCAAAGGUCUUGAGCCACUGCACACCCAAAACCACAUUGGCACUACACAAGGGCAAGACAUGAAGGUUCACCACAAAUUGAAUGCGCUUGAUAGUAAUGGUGACUGCUUCACAAAGGUUAUCACAAUGAAGCUGUUGACCAUUCCCGACCAUGACGCGAAGCGGAGUAGUGGUGCGAGUAGUGAGGCCCAAUUUCCACACCAAUGGUUCCUGAAUAAAGUGGUGGGUGUUGCCUCCAUCAACCAGGAUAACCAAUUGGGGCGUGACAAUGUGACCCAAGAGACGCAGGGUCUCAGGUGCCAAAUGACCCGCGAAAUAGUGGAGUGUGAUCUAGGCCUGAGGCGGGUUAGUGGCGUCGGGUGGGUGCUCCAACUGGGUCAAGUCUUCUAGGUUUGCAUCUUCCUCAUCAGUUAUUAAGAAGAAAAUCUGAGAGACACAUUUGUGCCCUCGAUGGAAUUAUUCGUCAAAAUUGAAACAGAAACCACAUUCCCUACACGAAGCCAAUUCCUCGGGGGAGAGUCGCUUCACAGGCACUAGUGUUGGGGGUUUCGGUGGGGCUAGAAGCAAGGGGGUAGCGAUUGUCGACAAGGGUCGUGGAGGUGGCGUAGCGAGAGGGGGUGGGCAGACGUAGCUCAUGGAAUGCGCCUCAAGGAGCUUCUCUACCUGAAGUCGGGCUAGGCCCAUCGCCUGCCCCAAAGUAAGAGGCUGGUGUGCCUGGACUUCCUGGCGAAUCUUCAGGGUCAACCCCGAGAUAAAGAAACUCAAAAGGAACGGUGGAGGCAAGCUGACAAUCUGCUUCGUAAGAUCUUCAAACUCCGAAAGGUACUUGGUGAUUGUGGAUCGCUGGGUAAGCUUGCAAGGGCACCGGUGGGAUCCUCGUAUUGAGACGGGGCGAAUCGUGUCUACAACGCUUGGAAGACUGGCCAAGAGGAGAAUUGACCAUUACUAGUCAUCCAUUGGAACCAGGCCAAUGUGCGCCUCUCCAUGUAGAAGGAGGCGAUGCUCAGCCUCUCGUGCUCUAGCGUGGCAUGGUAUGAUGUAAGAUCCAUUGGAGCUUGUAGGCCUAGGAUCUUCUUCAUCAAUGGAUUCCUUUGCUUCUUGGAAGAUGAAUGGCAGCGGAAUGGAGAAAGGAAGAGAGAGAGGAGACGCCACUUCAAGGAGAAGAUGAGUCUAGAAGAAGCUCACCACCAUAGGAGGCCAUGGAUAAGAGCUUGGAGGAAGAAGGAGAUGAAUGAAGGGAGAGGGAGAGAAGAUCACGAAAUUUUGUGCUCUAAUUGAGCUCUGAAAUCUGAAGUUUAAUAUUUAAAUGAUCAAAGUUAAAAAAAAUGCACACACAUGACCUUUAUUUAUAACCUAAGUGUCACACAAAAUUGGAGGGAAAUUUGAAUUUCAAUUCAAAUUUCACUUGAAUUUGAAAUUGAAUUUGUGGAGUCAAACUUUGGAGACAAAAUUUCACUAAUUGUGAUUAGUGAAUUUUAGUUAUGGUUCAGCCCACUAAUCCAAGAUCAAUUCCAAGAUUCUCCACUAAGUGUGCUUAGGUGUCAUGAGGCAUGUAAAGCAUGAAGGACAUACACAAAGUGUGACUAUAUGAUGUGGCAAUAGGGUGUGGUAAGCAAAUGCUCACCUCCCUCUCUAAAAUUUAAUUGGAUUGGGCUUUUACCAAUUCAAUUAAAUUUAUUUCCAACCACACACAUCAAAUAUUCACUUAGUGCAUGUGAAAUUACAAAACUACCCCUAAUACAAAAACUAGUCUAGGUGCCCUAAAAUAUAAGGGCUGAAAAAUCCUAUAUUUCUAGGGUACCCUACCUAUAUUAUGGAGCCCUAAAUACAAGGACCAAAAUUAAUGAAACCUUAAUCUAAUAUGUACAAAGAUAAGUGGGCUCAUACUUAGCACAUGGGCCCGAAAUCUACUCUAAGGCUCAUGAGAACCCUAGGGCCUUCUCUUGUAUCUUUGGUCUAAUCUUCUUGGAGUCUUCUAUCCAAUGUCCUUGGGGGGUAGGAUUGCAUCAUUCCCUCCCCCUUGAAAAGGAUUUGACCUCAAAUCCAGAGGUUCUUGAAACUCAUUAAUUCUUUCCUCAACACCUGUAAAAAGAAUAAAAACAUAUGUAUUAGUGAUGUUGGGUAUGUUAGAGUACGGUAAGGAUUGAAAACCCCUUUCCUGGCCAUCUUCCCAUAAGAGAAUAUAGUUCCUCACCAACUCAAUGAGUGGUGCUACAGGUAUAGAAAAAUAUAGGACAAACCUUUUGUAAAAGUUUGUUAAGAUAUUGAAGCCCCAAAUUUCCCUUAUACUUGGUGGAGUAGGCCACUCAAGAAUGACCUUUAUUAUUCUCUUAGGGUCCAUGGGAAGCCCUUGAUCACUAUUUAUAAAGUUAAGGAAAGUAAUGUAAUAAAACAUACAUUUUUCUUUAUUUUCAUGUUGAUUAUUCCUACAAAAAAUUACGACAAACCUAAGGUGUCCCACAUGAGCACCUAGGUUUGCAUUGAAAAAAAAAAAAAAGAACAAACCUACCUAAUGAGUCCCUAUGUACACAAAUCAUGAAGAUGUUGGGUGCAUGAGUGAUUUUACAAAAGAGUGUUACACCACUCAACACAUUCAUCAUACCACUUAUCAUAGGGAUUUGGUGCCUAAUAAUACCUAUUUUAGGCACCAACAAAGCACAAGGAUUUAAGCUCUUGCAAACCAAACCCUCAUCCAACAACUCCUUUACUUGAGGAAUAACCUAAAGCUCAAGAGGUAUGGCGGUGCUAAGGGAUGUUUACCUUGAUAGGAGAAGGUAGAAAGAUUGUUUAAGAAGGAGUGCUAUUUUAAUAUCAACUUUUGUUGCAAAAUGAUUUUCCUUCUUAACAAUCUUGUUGGAGGAAUCAUUUUCCUCCUUUUCCUUCCCCUUGGCCUUUGAAGACAAGGCCUUACUAUCCUUCUUUUUCUUUUGUUUUUCUAGUUUUUCUUCCUCAUCCCUCUUAUCUUUCAUAGUUAGUUGAUCUUUGGUCACCUGUGAAGGUGUUUGAGGAUGCAACACAAAUUUAGUGCCAAGAUGGGUAAGGGUAAUUUCAUUAGUUAGGCCAUUGUAAAUGAUCUUCCUAUCAAAUUGUCAUGGCCUUCCUAAAAGAAUAUGUCCUGCCUCCAUGGGAACUAUAUCACAUUUAACUUCAUCCUUAUAUGUCCCAAUGGAGAAAGGUACCUUCACUUGUUGGUUAACUAUCAUUUCCCCUUGCUCAUUGAGCCAUUGAAGUUUAUAAGGUUUUGGGUGGGGAAUGAUAGUGAGGUUCAACUUGGAAACUAAUCUUGUGCUACAACAAUUGCAACAAGAUCCACUAUCCACAAUGAGAGAACAAGUUUUAUCUAAAAUUUUGCAUCUUGUAUGAAAUAUGUUCUCUCUUUGGGAUUGAGAUAGAUCACAAGAUUGACCUCCAAUGAGCCUUCUAACCAUUAAGAGGUCACCUUCUUCAUAGGGGUAGACUUCCUCACUAGACUCUUCGCCCCUUACUUCAUCUUCACUUCCACUAGAGGAAGGGCAAGAAGUAGUCUCCUCUUGACUACUAUAAAUGUCUUGACCCCUCAUGAUCAUGGUUUUCUUUGUGGGGCAUUGAGAAACAAUGUGACCUCUCCCAAGACAUUUGAAGCAUUUAAUGUUGUUAGUCCUUUCUUGGGAACUAGUCUUAGGGAUGUAUUUUUCUAUGGUCUUACCCUUAUCUUCCUUGGGUUUUGAAGGUGCAGCCCCCAAAAUUCCAUGGGCUUGGUCCUUCCUUGGAUAAGAGUGAGAGCCAUAAGAUUUUGAAGAAGGCUUUCUUUUAAGUUGUUGCUCCACUCUUAUACAAAGUUGGACUAGCUCAUCUAGGUCCCUAUAUGGAAGGAGUUCAACCUUGUCCUUCACUUCCAUAUUAAGCCCACUAAGGAACCUAGCUAUGCUUGUUCUUUCCUCCUCCCUAAGUCCAGCUCUUAAAAGGAGUAGUUUCAUUUGUUGUUUAUAUUCUUCAACACUCAUACUCCCUUGUCUAAGCCUUUGGAGCUUGUCCAUAAGCUCUCUUUCAUAGUAGGAGGGAAUGUGCCUCUUCCUAAAGGCACUCUUAAGAUCAUUCCAAUACUCUAUUGGAGGAUCCCUAUGAAUCCUUCGUUCCCUAACAAGGGAAGUCCACCAAUAGAGGGCAUACCCUUGAAAGCUAAGGGUAGCCAAUGGAACUUUUCUCUCUUCGCUAAUAUGAUGGCAAACAAAGAGUUGUUCAACCUUUAUUUCCCAAUCUAAGUAGGCCUCAACAUUAUCUUUUCCAUGGAAAUAUGGGAGGCAAAUGUUAACCUCUUGAGGCCUUCUAUCCUUUUCUCUUCUUUGGGAGUGAUGUUUAGUAUGUGAACUAUGGCGCCCUCUAUAAUAGUCGCUAAGUUCUUCACUUAAACUCUUGCAAGAGUCAUGACUACUAUAGGAGGCAUGUUUUUCUCUUUUCAUUUCUUUCAUUGUUUUUCUUCUUUCUUCCUCUCUUAUUUUCUCUCUUUCAUCUUGACUUAUUUCUUCCACUCUUUUUUUACCUUUUUCUUUUCUCUCUUGCUUUUCUUUCCACAACUUAAGGGAUCUCAAUUCAUCUAAUAUCUUAUACAAGAGUUCCUUAGGAGUAGAACCCUUACCAUUAACACUAGAUGAAGAAUGAAGACUCAUGUUGGUUCCUAAGUUAUGGUUCUUUCUUGUUGGGGGUUUGAAAAACAAAAGGUAAAAGAAACUAUGGUUGAAACUAGCCAAAAUAAACACUAAAAGAGGUGUGAAAGAUGAGGUAAAAACUAAUUGGUAAAAGGCAAGCUAUCUAGGCGGUUUGACAAUGAAGGGUAAAAGAAAUAAGCUAUGAAAGUAAGCAAGAAAUUAAAGUGCAAGAAAAGCAAACUAGGUGGAUCCUAAGAGUGUUUGGAUGACCUCAUUUAAGGUUCCCAACAAAACACUCACAAUCCUAAGAGAAAAUUGCCUAAAAAUUAUUACACACAAAUGGAAGUAGGGUGACCUAGCGGAGGCUCCCAACUUACUUCCAACGAAAGGCCUUUUUGUUACAAAAUUUGAAAGCAAAGCAAAUUGCCAAUUACAAGAAAAAAGUCCUCAAUUAUGGUGGCUAUUCUCUCGUUAGUGUUUCACUCAAUUUGGAUUGCUUCUUAGUCCAAUAGCUCUUAAGGUGGUUGGCCCCUUGCUUCUUGACUCAAAUUCUUCAAGAUAUGGCACCAAUCCUCCUUUUCAAUUCCCUAUAUGGCAACUCACAAGCAAGGAAACAAAGAGACAAGCAAUAACCAAAGACAAAAAAAUGAAAUGAAAGCUAAACCAAUAUAGUUUUAACAAGAUAAAUUUCCAAGGAUUAUUCAAAAAUUAAAGCAAUGAAAAGCACAAAAAAGCAGGCUAGGACUCAAAGAGAAACCUAGAAUGGCUCUAGAGUAGAGUAGAAAAACUAUAAAAAAAAAAGACUCAAGAAACCUCUAGUUUUGACACUUGUUUUCACAAUAAUUUUCAAUUGAAAUUUCAGAACUAGGAUUGGUAUAAAAUAGGCACCAAUUAUUGAACAAAUUUUGAGCCAAAACAACAAGCACACUUCCCUUUCACUUUUUUUUCCUGGACACUGAUUUUUCUGCCAACUUGUGUGAUUUUUCUUAUUUUUUCCUUUAAUCCGAAUCGCUUGGUUCUUUUUUUAUAAUUUUGGUCCAGAUGUCUAGAAAAUUCAGUAAAAAUUUCAGCUCAAAAAACGUAGUGACCAAUUCCCAGUAAUUUACACAAUUUCGUAUGUUCAAGUUGCCAACACCAGCGAUUUCAACCUAAAAAUCAAGAGUAGUGUUUAUGUUGCUUAAGGCUUGGAUAGUUACAAUUUGUGUUUGCUUAUGCUCAAUUAUCUUGAAUAACAAAAUUCAAGAGAGUUUAAGACUUAUUUGAUUCACAAAUCCAGCCACAACUCAGCACCACAACUCAACUUCAUCAUAGGCAUUAUAUACGAAACUUUGAAAACAAAAAAAAGUUCAACAAGACUACUUCUAGGAAUUGAUUUAGAACAUGUUAUGAACUAAAUAAUAUGCAUGAAUUAGACUCAAAAUUCAAAAGAUAGGCUAAGGAUGACAAGAAUACAUGAACAAAUGUAUCUAGAAUUCAAUCAACAAAAUAAAAAUUCAACACAAACUUAGAACAUAAUGUGACAAUUACUAUGACUAAACAUGACUCUAAGACAACAUGGAUUAAGUGAUUUACAUUUUGAUUUUUGUGUUUUUUUUCUAAUCAAUAUUUUUGGAAGAAAAUUUUGAUCUAAGUUUCAGCACAAGAAUAUUAUGAAUGAAAAAUGAUAGAACCUAAAAUCAACACAAAAACAUGAUUCAAGAGUAGAUCUACAAAAUUUGAACCAUAGAAAUGCAAGAACAAGUGUAAAUAUAAGAUUUAAUCGAUUUAUUUUUUUUGAAUCUACUCUAAACAGCACCAAACCACAAGACAAUGGAGGAUAUACAUGGAGAAUAAGAUGAAGAACAAGGAAUUAAAGAGAAUUCACUGAACAAAAAGAUAAAGGAAGCAAAAGAACAUCACCUAGAUGAAGAUGCUCUUGAUACCACAUGAUGUAAGCUCCAUUGGAGCUUGUAGGCCUAGGAUUUUCUUCAUCAAUGAAUUCCUUUGCUUCUUGGAAGAUGAAUGGCAGCAGAAUGGAGAAAGGAAGAGAGAGAGGAGACGCCACUUCAAGGAGAAGAUGAGUCUAAAAGAAGCUCGCCACCAUAGGAGGCCAUGAAUAAGAGCUUGGAGGAAGAAGGAGAUGAAUGAAGGGAGAGGGAGAGAAGAGCACGAAAUUUUAUGCUCUAAAUGCGCUAUGAAAUCUGAAGUUUAAUAUUCAAAUGAUCAAAGUUAAAAAAAUGCACACACAUGACAUUUAUUUAUAGCCUAAGUGUCACACAAAAUUGGAGAGAAAUUUGAAUUUUAAUUCAAAUUUCACUUGAAUUUGAAAUUGAAUUUGUGGAGCCAAACUUUGGAGCCAAAAUUUCACUAAUUGUGAUUAGUGAAUUUUAGUUAUGGUUCAGCCCACUAAUCCAAGAUCAAUUCCAAGAUUCUCCACUAAGUGUGCUUAGGUAUCAUGAGGCAUGUAAAACAUGAAGGACAUGCAUAAAAUGUGGCAAUGGGGUGUGGUAAGCAAAUGCUCACCUCUCCCUCUAAAAUUUAAUUGGAUUGGGCUUUUACCAAUUCAAUUAAAUUUAUUUCCAACCACACACAUCAAAUAUUCACUUAGUGCAUGUGAAAUUACAAAACUACCCCUAAUACAAAAACUAGUCUAGGUGCCCUAAAAUACAAGGGCUGAAAAAUCUUAUAUUUCUAGGGUACCCUACCUAUAUUAUAGAGCCGUAAAUACAAGGACCAAAAUUAAUGAAACCUUAAUCUAAUAUGUACAAAGAUAAGUGAGUUCAUACUUAGCACAUUGGCCCGAAAUCUACCCUAAGGCUCAUGAGAACCCUAGGGCCUUCUCUUGCAUCUUUGGUCCAAUCUUCUUGGAGUCUUCUAUCCAAUGUCCUUGGGGGGUAGGAUUACAUCAUGGUAGUCGAAAAAUUGGUUGAUCUUAAAGAUCCAACCAAGGGGUUCAGUCCCAUCAAAUCGAGGGACAUCUAGUCUCAAACUAUGAGGGGUGGAGGUGGGCAUAGGUGGAGUGGAAUUGGACGCGGAUGGAGAUGGUGAGGAGGCCUCAGGCUGGGCUAAUUUUUGGAUUAAUUCGUCGAGUUUCAAGGUCAUUGUGUGUACUGUUUCGGUCAAGGAAAGGUGAUGGGAAGUGAGCUUGGCUAUGGCAUCUUCCAGCCUGUCAGAGGAAGCUUUGGACCUAGUGGAUUCCACCAUUGGAACAACGAGAGCACCAAAAUUGAUAGACUUAUUCUGGUUUAGAGGACCAGAUACCUCCCAAGAAGAGAAUAAGAAGUUGAAGGUAAUUUUCAUUGAUUAAAGGUAAAGGGAGACAAGCUAAGGAAAAUGCUUAUUCUGUUGCUGGAAGGAAGAUUCUGAUGCCUAAUCAGCAACAUCCCCUCUAUCUCAGAUGAAAUCUUUCAGAUACGCAGGUAUGGUGCUAAUCCUUCUGGGCUUGUUUCUCAUUGUUUGCACCCCUGGUCUGCUACCCUUUGUUUGCACCCCUUUAUUGCUAACAAAAUCACACUUUGACACUUAUUUCUACUUCCAAAACCAGCUAAAGAGAAUUUGUAUAAUAAAAAAGUGUGUGGAGAUAGAGGAAGAAUUCAGUGAGGUUAGUAAAAUUAAGAAUAAAUAAUUUUGCUUUGAAAUUAAGUACAAUCUUAAGACAACUUAAAUUUAAUAUCAGGAUUGAAACUGAUUAGGUGAGUGAGUGUGUGUAAUCGGGUGAGGAAGAAAGAGGAAGAGUGAUAAAUCUUAGAUGACCACCGUAUUUAUUUUAGUAUCGGAAGAAAAUUUUGGUAAAACGUAAAAAGCUUAAGCUUUUUUUUUUCUCUCUCUAGGGAAUGUUCUUGUAAGAGAUAAGAUUUUUUAUUUCUUAGAAUCAUAAAUUUGAAAAUUUUAAUAAUGUUUGAUAUGCAUUAAAAAAAUAUCAUUUUUGGAAAAUGAUGUUUCUAGAGAGUUUUUUCAUAAUCAGUUUCUCAAAAAAAAAAUUAUGAAAGAUGAGAGUUUAAUUUUUUUACUGCAAUAAAAAUAUUAUUAAAUUAUAUAAUAUGAUAAAUAAUUAAAAUAAUCCAUAAAAAUUUGCGUAACUUUUUUAUUUGUUAGAAAUUUCUCUAAAAAAUUUCAAUAAUCAAUUAAACAAAUUUUAUUUAAUCAAUGAAACAUAACAUAAUUUACAAAAAUCAUGAUUUUCUAACAUAAAAAAAUCCUUUCUCUCACCAAACUUACCAUUAAAGGUCAGAUACAUUAGAAUUGAAUUUGACUUUUCUGUUAUCCUUUUUUUAGUUGUCUUUGUGCUGUCCAUGUAGUUGUGUUAAUAUUUAAUUUUGUGAUUCAAUUUUAAAAACUGUGAUUUGUACGGGACAGCACAAGGACAACUGAAAAAGGGACAACAGAGAGGUCCAUAAGAAUUAAUCUUUAUCAUGAGUUAUUUAGUUUCUUUUUUCCUUUUCGUUGUCUGUUUCUUAUGUUUCUGAAGCUUAAAAAAAUCUCUAACCUAAAAACCUGAAUCCAAAAAACUAUUAAUCUUUAACCUUGGCAAAUUAACACUAGCACCGUAUGCACCUCAAGGACACUUCACACCUACAGCUGGUAUAAAUUUUGCUAACCUCCGCAUUAAAGAGCUCAGUAUGAUGACACUCUGGCAUGAAGUGUGUGAUGCUUCCAUAGUUACAUUUAUAUAUCCCCAAAAAAUAAUAAUAAUAAACGGUGCAUAUAAAAUAACCAAUUUUUUCAUUUAAGCUUAUUUUGGUAAAAAAAAAGCCAAACUGCCAAACUAGAGUGAUGCAGAGGUAGAAAAAAAGGUGCCAACCAUUUCCAAAUCUCCUACACCAAAGUUGAGUGCUUGUGUUCACUCACACCCACAACCCCAACAACAACAACAACAACACAAGAGUCUCAAAAUUCAGCCUAUAUAAAGCCCAAUUCCCCCCAUGGAGCCUCCCCAAACUUGAUUCCCCACAACAUUCUCCAAAAUCACCUCAAAAAAUUUCAAGUGCUCGCCAUGGCUGAUGGCAGUAGUAGCAACACCAAGAGCAAUUCCCUGAUCCUCCAUCACCCCACAAACUUGAAGGGUGGUUGGAAUGCUGCCAUCUUCAUCAUAUGUGAGUCCAAAUCAAAACCUCUCUCUCUUUCUCUCCAUCACCCAUUUCCCCCUUUCUUAAUUUUUUGAUUCCCCACAUGAUUCGAGGCACUUUCAGACACUAAAUAUAAAUAUAAACAUCUCUAAUAAAUGAGAAUUCAAACAUUGAUUUACCUAGUUUCAAUUGAUUAAGGGUGUACUUAGAUUACAAUCCAAACACACAUUAAUCCCAUAGACCUAAACCAUGAUUUUUUUUUUCUCUCUUUUGCAUCAUGACGAGUUUGAUCUUGAUUUGAUCAUGUAUAUGUGAUGUGAUGAUGCGAAGAUUAUGUUUUUGUUUUGUGGGCAGUUGUGGAAUUUGCUGAGAGAUUUGCUUACCAAGGGUUGGCAAGUAAUCUCAUCCAAUACCUUACAAAUGUUCUGAAUGAACCAAUCACACAAGCAGCCAAAGAUGUGAACACAUGGGUUGGUGCCUCCUCUCUCUUCCCUUUGCUUGGUGGCUUCAUAGCUGAUUCCUAUCUGGGUCGCUUCAACACCAUACUCUUGUCCUCAGUCAUUUAUUUCGUGGUAAGUAAAAUUUAAUUAAUCUAUUUUUUCACUGUUACAAGUUUAAUUCGUUUGGGUAAAAUAUCGUCAUGUCUCUUCUCUUCUUGAUUCUUGCUAAAUGGGUGGAAUCUAAUUUAUGUGCUCACUGCUCUUCGGAUGCAACAACUUUGUAUUUUUCCAAGUUUUUCGUGUUACGUAUAUGGUCCCACAUCGUGCAGGAACCAUAAUAAAUAUCCGAUUUAAUUAUUUACUAUAUUUUUUAUUUUAGCGGAAUCUCAUAACCGCGUUAUUUUAUUAUCGCAGCAAGACAAAUGCAAAUAAUUAAGCGGUUAUAUAAGACACGGAUUAAGACAUAUAAAAUGUUUUUUUGGUUGAAAAGUAUAAUUAUUAUUAUCAUUAUAAUUUUUAUACUAUUUUCGUGCUAUAUUAUAUAUGUUUUUUUUAAUUUUUAGUUUUUUUCAAAAUAUUUUUUAUUUUAGAAAAUUAUAAAAGUAUUAAGUUUUUUUAUUUGUAAAAAAAAUUAUUAAUUUUUCGUUUUAGUAAUGUUUUUAUGCAUGAAUAUAUCUCACUUUAAUCUUUAAAUGAAUCUAUAGUUACAUUCUAAUUCUUUUAAUAAACAUAUUUUAGUCAAAGAUUUAUUUUGUUACUAUUAAAAUUUGUGUAAAUAAUACUACUUUUUUAAAGAUAAAAGUGUGCAUUACCUUAAAAAAAGAAUGAUAAGAUACAAAGGAGUAUUUAAUGACGCCUUAAUUAGUAUUUUAAUUUAAAUAGAUUUCUUAAUAAAGAUAUUUUUAACAAAAAAAAAUUGGAGUUGAACUUGGUGUAGUUAGUAAUUUUCUAAAGAAAUGUGCAUUACCUUAAAAAACGAAUAAGACAAAAGAGUUUAUUGAUACCUUAACUAGUAGUAGUAUUUUAAAGAUAAUAAAUAACAUAAUUUUUGGUCUCUUUCCAUUCUACACCUGCACCGAGAAAAGAGAAAAGGUUGAAGACAAACCCAAUCCUCAACAAAACUCUUUGAUAAAGAAAGUACAAUAUGCUAGUUUUGAAAUGGGGCCAGUAUACAAUUUUGGGUUAUAACUUAUAACCUUCAAUAUUCAUUUGUAUUAAAGAGAUUUUUUAGUUCUAAAAUAAGGAGUUUUAUUACUUUUUAAACAAAAUUAAAAUAUUUAUUAUUUAAAAUAUUAUAGCACCUAAUUUUUUUUGGUGAAUAACUGCUAUUUAAUUUAUUGAUAGUCAAUAUACAAGGAAUAUUUUUUUAAAAGUAAUGCCUUUCGUAAAUAUAAUAUUUAUAUAGGACUUUUUCUUAUAAUAAAAAGACGGUUAAUGUAAUAAAUGCAAAUGUUGUAAAUAUCAUAACAUGACAUCUUUUUGAGUAUAUUUGCAUCAUACAUGGCUGUUUCUUUCGAACACAAUCUUCAUUGCAUAUUGAAUAAUUUAAAAGAAAUACAUAUCAAUUUAUGUAAAAAAGAAAAUUUAAGUAUAUAUAUAAAAAGUCAGGAUAUAAAACUACUAAAAUUAAUUAGGAGAUACUUGAUUCCUGAUUUAAGUGAUGUAUAUCUUUUCUUAUCCCGUCUUACAUCUACCGUACAUCAUGCUAAACACAUGUGAUUCAUGUUAUAUUUUCAAUAUUUUGAAUUGAAAAUCAACGCAUCAAAUCAAACACUAAGAAAACUUUUUCUAUCACAACCCCUAAUCCACAAUAAUUUUUUCUGUGAUUUCAAUCCUAAUCAAACCAGUUACUUUUUACUUUUAUUUUAUUUUAGUUAAGUUUAUAAAAUAUUAUAAAUUAGUAACAUUGUGUUUUGUCUAUAAAUUCAUCUAAGAAAAUUAUAAAUUAAUAAAAAAAAAUAACUACUAUCACUCAUCAUGAAUUACAUACUAAUUAAAAUUUGUUAGUUUAUGCAAUAAUUACUUGGACAAGAUAUGAAAACUGAUGAAUUAAAUAAAUUACUAUUAGAUAGUAAACAUAUAUAACUUGCAAAAAAACAUUCUUCACGAUUCAAAUUUUUAACACUUAAUUAUUGAGAGGUUAAUUGUUAUAUAUGUGGGGUAUUUCUUGUUGCGGGUACUUUCCACUUCCACGGAUCACUCAAAUGCUUGAGCACAUCUCUUAUGAUUCCAAUAUUCCGAACGAGAUUUGCAUAUUUCCUGUGAUUGUCCACAUUAUACAAGUCAUCACCAUGCAUGCACUGUGAAUUAAUUAAAAAAUAGUUUUUGCCGUUGUUGAUGGAAAAAGAAUAUCAUAUCCUCACGUCACAUGAACAUAUAUGUUACAGGGCAUGGUUUUCUUGACACUUUCAGUGUCGGCACUCAAACACAAAUUCCUUUUUUUCUUGGCACUUUAUGUCCUUGCCAUCGGCGACGGAGGUCACAAGCCUUGCGUCCAGACCUUCGCCGCCGAUCAGUUCGACGAGGACACGCCUGAGGAGAAGGAUGCCAAGAGCUCAUUCUUCAACUGGUGGUACUUGGGGAUUGUGGCUGGCUCAACUGCUUCUGUUUUUGUUGUCAUAUAUCUUCAGGUAAAUUCAUGAAAUUCGAUCUUAAGACUAAAGUUUUAAUUUGUGCGAUAAAAGAAAUAUGAAAUCAUUAAAUAUUGACCAUUUUAUUAUAAUUUUAGAGGCUAAAGGGAAUGUUAUUUGAUCAUGUUUGGAUAUUAAAAUGAUUACUUUAUAGUAAUUUUAGAGAAUAAAAUGACAUUUUAAUAAUUUUAAAGACUAAUUUAAUGUAUUGAUAUUUUUUAGUUUAGAUAUUUCAUAAUUCAUGAUAAAAAGCUAGCAUCAAUUUGAUUGUCUAAUAUUAAUGAAUAGUAAUUUUUCUAAGAGAAACUCUCUCGUACGGUGACUACGGGCUAGGUAUGAUCUAUUAAAAACUCAAAAGGUAAGUAAAAUUAAUGAUAAAAGAGAUAAUAAAGUCAGUACGUAAUCAAGUUUUUUUUCAUUAUUAUCUUAAGCUUUAAUUUACAAAUAAUUUUUUCCAUUUUAUAUCUUAUGACGUUAAUUUGAUUCCAAUACACGGUAUUUUUUGAAAUAUUUUGAUUGAAAAGAAUCAUUUGAGAAUCAAAUUGUUGUUAUAAAGUCUUUUGAAAAUCUGUCGAGUGACAAAAGUUGGAUUUCCUCAAUUGUUAAUUUGUUUGUUUAUGACCAACUUCUUUACCUGUAUUAGAUAAUAUCCACGUUUAGCACAUCUCUUCUAUGUUUCAUUUUUUAAAGCGUCAUUAGUCAACUUGUAUGUGAUGGCUUUGCAUUCCAUCUCUUUCCCAAACAAUUGUAAUUAAUACUUUUGCAUUCUUUAGAUUUAACAACACAAAACAAUAACUAAUUAAUUUAGAAUAAAGUUGUUUUCUUAGCACUUUAAGCUCUCUUGUUUUUUUAUAAUGAAAUUAUUUUUCUAUUUGUUCAUCUAUUUUUUGAAGUCUAUGAUUGAAUCUCUAGAUUUGCUUCUGGGGAGAAAACCAUGAUUGAAUAUUAAAAGUAUUAUAAAAUAUUUUUUUAUUAGUCAGUAUCCAAUACCCAUUGUCAUCUUAUGAAGUGAAAUAAGAAAGUAAUUAAUUAAUCAAAAGAGCGUCACCGAUAUAUAAUAUAAAAUAUGAUAUCUGAGUUGACAUAAGGUAGGUGAGAUUUGUAAAAUAAGAGAAACAAUAUAAAAUUUAUUUGUUUCUUUUUGUGUGUGUAACGCCAAAACAAAUAGAAUAGUACUAUAGUGGAUAAACAUACAAGGAAAAUUUAUGGAUCACACACAUUUCUUUAUUAGAAUAUCAAGUUUCAAUAACAUGGGAACAUAUUCCACAUAGAAGUCUUUUCCAUUUAUAUGCAUCACCCUUGGACAAGUUAAGUGAAACAGAUUGUUCAUUGUAAAAAGGUGAGAAGAGUGGACGCUGUAGUGUCUUGUACAUUUUACAAAGAAUGUUAGGUUAUAUAUGGACAAAAAUUGAGUUUACACUACUGUUAACAAUUUCUUGGAAAGUCAUGGUUAUCUAUAACCAUAUAUAAUAGCAAUAGCACUUUUUUAGUCUUUAUUUUUUACACGCAUGUAUCCCUCAACUACAAAUAUAAUUGAUCCCACUCUUUUCAUGUCAUAACCGAUGUUGUAUCCUUUAAUUACGUAUUCCCAUUUUUUUUUUAUUGAACUUCUUCUCUUUCUCUCUUUUAUUUUGUUAUAUUUUUUCCUUUUAAAAAAAUGUUUCCCUAAUGAUUAUUAAUCUUUUCAAUUAUUUGACAAAACAUGAUUAAAAUGUUAUAAAUAUUUUAUAAGAAUUUAAUUAAAAUAUAAUGAUAGUAUAAAUAUGUUUUAUAUUAAUUAUCAUCUAAUAAUUUGUUAAUUUAUAGUAUAAUAUAUCAACAUGUGAUUGACCAUAUAAAAUAUUUUACCCCAACCUCGUUUUAUAAUAAUUUGUGGACAAAAUGUAAAUACUGAAAAUAUCACAUAACACCAAAACUCUAAGUUUAUAAUUUUUUUAAAGGCUAAAAAUGAAAUAUAUUAAUAAUCUUGGCUUCAGUACAAGAUGUACUCAAAACUAAGCUAGCUAAAAGCAAAAAAUAAGUCAUCUCUGAAAGUACAAGUGUCACGAGCAAAGUAUGUAGGUAGUGAAGCAAUCAUACUUGCUAGACACCAAAGCAUAAAACAACUCCAUCGCUUGGAACUGAUAAAGUGAAUAAAAAAUGAGGUGAAUUCCAAGCUUGAGAACAUAGGUUCAAAACAUCAGCACGAUAAGCAUAUAUAGAAACUUGGUGCAGCUUUUUGCAUACAAACAAAUACUUCUACUGAUUUUCUAUGUUUAUCAUAACCCCACAUAUAUAUCAUAUAUAAUAAUAACUAACCCCAUAACUCUGUUUAUCAUAACCACACACACAUGAUGUCAUGAGUAAGAAUAACCCAUAAUAUAUGUAUGGCUUUGAUAUACAAUUAUUGACUCCUAUUACCUGAUCAUGUUUUGAUGAAUAACCACGUACAUAUGAAUAUGAUGUCAUAUAGGUAAGAAUAUAUAUAACCCAUAUAUAAUUUGUUAGUUUCCUUAAAAAUAUCAGUAGCUAAGAUUUAGAUCUGUGACUUUUUUUUUCCUUUCUUUAUUUUUUUUAAUUACUUAGUCAAAUUUAUAUCUCCGACCCAUAUAUGACUGACUUUGAUAAUUAUUUAUUGAGUCCUUAUCUGAUCAUGUUAUGGCAAAGAGCCAAUAAGGCAAUGAAAUAAUUGUAAUUUGAUGAAGUUGAUGUGGAUUUGAAUGAAAUUGAACAAAAUAGGACAAUGUUGGGUGGGGAGUGGGGCUAGGAGUGCUGGCAGGGGUGUUGGCUUUGGCAUUGGCACUCUUCUUGUUGGGAAUCAAAAGGUACAGAAAGGAAGGCCCUGCAGGGAGCCCAUUCACCAGGCUGGCCCAAGUCUUUGUCGCCGCAUCGCGCAAGUGGCGCGUGCAGGCCACGCACGGUCACCACAAUUAUUGCUAUGACGAGGAUGAGGAGCAUCAUGAGCCCCAUAAUCAUCUCCAUGUUCAACCCAAAAUCCACACUCUCCUCCAUACUCAUCAAUAUAGGUGGGUGUCACACUCUUUCUAACUAACUACUAGAACCCUCCAUGUUUUUCUUUCCAUCAUGAAGUUAUUAUUAACAAAAAAAGAAGAAGCUAUACUUUACGAUGUCAUAGCCAUUUCAAAACAAUAAAUGAAUAACUAAUUUUUGUAGGUGCAUGAAAUACUUUCAUCAUGUGGUUUAUGAUUAAGUUGAAGUGGAGGGAAUGGUAUGAUGUUGAAAUUGUGGUGGGAAGAGUAAAGUUUGUUGAAUAGUUUUGAUUAAAUUUUUUAUGCUUAUAUUUAUAAUAUGCUUUUUAGUUAGUUUGAUGAUAAAGACAUUGAGCAAAUAAGUUAAAUUUGAGUUUUUUUGUUAGGGAAGGAGAAUAAAUAUAAUGAACAUAUAUAUAAUCAAAGUCAACUAUCUUCUUAAAAGGAAUAAGGAGGUUUUCCAAAAAUUUCUGCUCUUCUGAAUUGUAAAGGUGAGCUUUAGAAGAUAACGCACAUGUAAUUAUUGAUUAAAAAAAUAGCGAUUAAAAUUAUAAUAAAUAUUAAAUGCAUAUAUAUAGUAAAUUUGAAGUUAGUUGCAAUCAUGGUCAUUAGUAUACUUUAUUAAUUAUCCGAAAUACACUAUUCUCACUUUAGAAAAGUGGAAUCCUUUCUCAUACUCACAUGGUAAAUGUUAUUAUAUGCAUGUAAGCAUUUUUAAUAUCUCGUGUUAAUAAGGAGGUCUCUCUUCCUCUUUUUCUUUGCAUCCUUAACACAAGAACAACUUCUAUGAACAACAGAGUAUUUAUACACAAACUAAUCAAAUGCAUAGAUCGAAUAAUAUUAAAAUAACCAUAACAUAGGUUUCAACAUAAGGCUUUAACAUAGACUUUACCACCACCUAAAAAUAAUAGACUUUCAUCAUUAUUUAAUACAUUCUAAGUAUCUAAUUAGUUGUAGCACUCAUACAAGAAUUAUUCCCACAACACUUAAUUACUAAUAAUCCAUUUGGAGAAUUUUUCUAGAUAGCUUUUACAAUGGAGUCAACUCUGAAACAUCAAAACUCAUGGGGGCCACACUAGGGUUGGGUCUAUGGUUUUGAGUUGAUACCAACAACAAUUCAUUGUGGAACUACUAGACUCUCUUUUUUCCUGCCUUUUUGUUGCUUCAAAGUUGACACUUUCUAUUACCACAUCAUUGCUAAAACGAAAUUUAAUUGCAACAGAUUUUUGGACAAGGCAGCGAUCAUAGAUGAAAUUGAUGCCAAGACGAAGACAAGAGACCCUUGGAGGCUAUGUUCAGUGACACAAGUUGAGGAAGUGAAGCUUGUCCUUCGUUUGAUUCCAAUAUGGCUAAGUUGCUUAAUGUUCACUGUUGUACAAGCUCAAGUGCACACAUUUUUCAUCAAGCAAGGUGCCACAAUGGUACGUACCAUAGGACCACAUUUCCAAGUCCCACCAGCAUCGCUCCAAGGCCUAGUUGGAGUCACAAUACUCUUUGCUGUGCCAUUCUAUGACCGUGUCUUUGUGCCACUAGCAAGGAAAAUCACAGGGAAACCCACUGGGAUAACAGUGCUACAAAGAAUUGGGGUAGGACUUUUCUUGUCAAUCCUUAACAUGGUUGUGUCAGCACUUGUGGAGGCCAAAAGGGUUGGUGUUGCAAAAGAGAGUGGCCUAAUUGAUGACCCAAAAGCAGUGUUACCAAUCAGCAUUUGGUGGCUGCUUCCUCAGUACAUGAUCACUGGGAUCUCUGAUGCAUUCACAAUUGUGGGGCUACAAGAGUUGUUUUAUGACCAAAUGCCUGAGGCACUUAGGAGUUUGGGGGCUGCAGCAUACAUUAGCAUUGUGGGGGUUGGGAGCUUUGUUGGCAACAUUGUUAUAGUUGUUGUGGAGGGUGUGACAUCAAGGGCUGGUGAGAAGUGGCUAGGAAACAACCUCAAUAGGGCACACCUUGAUUACUUCUAUUGGGUCUUGGCAGGGUUGAGUGCUGUUAAUUUGUGUGUUUAUGUGUGGCUUGCCAUUGUUUAUGUGUACAAAAAAGUUGAUGAGGGUCAUCAAACUAGUGACCAACAGGGUUCUAGCCACAAGAAAUACAAACCUGGAGUGUGAGGGGAAAAAAAGUUACUGUUUGGCUUCUGAUAUAUGCAGCGAAUGCCAAACAUACCAAGUCCAAGAUGAGAGUUAAGUAUAGAUUAACAUUGUAAUUCCAAUAAAUAGUAAUCUUAGUUGCAUCUUAGAGAGAGAGGCUAAUUGUUUAAAACUAGUUAUAUUUAGUUAAAACUAUAAAUAUUUGAAGGCUUUCUUAAGCAUUGUAUAAAAUCAUUAGAGUUAAUAUAUAAUUUAAUUCUGAAAAUGAUCAUUUGUGAUUGUUUAAGUUGACAACUUGAAAGGACUAAUUUGUUAACAAAUGGCAUUUUGGGAAACCAAUAUUCAUAGACUUACAUUCUCAAGAACUGAGAAAAUACAAAUUGCUACUUUUGAAAAACCAAAUUACACAACAAUAAUUUUAAAAUGAAGUAUAUUGCAAAAUUGGACUACAUUAACAUUAGUAUUAGAUAUAAUAUUGUUAUUCUUCAAGAGCUACGCCAAUGAGUGUUUGAAAACAAGUCAUUAAGAUAUGUUAACAAUAUUAAUACUGGAUAUAAUAUUCUUCUUUUAAAAGUUAUAUUUAUCAGUGUAUUAUUUAGACAAAAUUAUAUUUUUGGUCCACUUAAUUGUUUUAAAUUUUAAUUUUAGUCUCUCUUUAAAUUUAUUUACCAAUUUAGUUCCUUAAUUAUGUUAAAUGUGAUUCCUAAGCUCAUAUUUAAAUAUUAAUUAUCAUAAAAAAACAUUAAUUCUAAUAUUUGUGUGUUCUCCUCCAAUCAAAAAUACUGCAUGUUUAUUAGUAACUUUAGACAACAAGAAAUAGACAAUAAAUGGAUUUGAAAAAGUUGAAAUCAGAUUAUCAAAAAGUACAUUAAAGCAACUCGAUGCAACAUAUACUAAAUGUGUGUGUUGUUCUCGUUUAAAUUUGUGUUAAAAUUGGACUACUUUAAUCUCAAUACUGAUAUUACAUUCUUCUUCUGACAAUUUUAUUUUUUUUCAGAACUUAAAUAAAUGACUUGAUCUAAGAAGACAAUAAAUAGACAAUCAAUAUGUUUGGUAUUAAAUCACAAUAAGGUGAAAACAAUCUAGAAUAACAUAGAACAAAUAUAUAUUUUUCAUUUUCCGAACAUAAAUGCGAGCACCCACUACCUAAAUAACAUACCUAAUCUUAAUAUUUAUUUCAAGAAGUAACAUUAAAAUAACAUAUUUGAGUUAGAGUUAUAGUUAUUAAAAUUGGAUAAGGCUCGAUGAGUUGGGAAAGUUCCACCGGGACCCAAUGUCUAGGGCGGUUGGUUAAGAUGUAGGAACAAAAAUAUAAACAAUUUGGUCGGGUUUGUUGAAAUCUAAUGACUCCAAUUGAGUUUUCAGUUCCUAUAACAAAUUAUUAACCGUUAAUUAUUAAAUGAUAUAUAUAAUAUGUUCCUAUAAUAUUUUUUUAUCUUGAUAACAAUAUAUAAUUAAUUAUUAUCAUAUUGAUUAUAAUAUAAUAUAAUAUUUAUGUGUUAUAUUUUUAUUAGAAUUUUUAUGGUCAUUGGGUGACUUUUAUAUUUAGUAUUGGAAAACAAUUUUUUUAAUGAUAAUACAUAUAAAAUAAUUAUAGUAAUAAAUGAUUAUAUAAUAUUUAUAAUUUGAUCAUGAUAAUAAAUUUAAUUUCUGAAUAUAAAAAUAUAAAUUGAUUAUAUUUUAUUAGAUAUAUUAUAUUUUAAUUUUUUAAUGUAUAUAUCAAAUCAAUAUAAAUGAUCUAUCAAUUAAAUCUUUGACUCACUGAUUUAAUCCGUCCAUGAUGGAAUCCAUUUUCAUAAAACGUGUCAGAAUAUAAAGGAUAUCUAUACCAAACUUGUUAGAGUAAGUAAAGGUAUAGGCAACCAACCCAAGUUUAAUUUUAAAUUUUUAUUAUGAAACAUGAGUAUGAGAAGCUUUUGUAUCUGCAAACUCACAAUUUAAAUAGUGUCGCGAUAAAGAAGCAUUUCACAUAAUGGUCUUUUUCAAGCCUUUCUCACUAACUGUUGUUACUAAUUAUUGCAUAGUGUCAUAUUAAACUUCACAAAUUAACCUAUAUGUGACAUUAGAUAAAGCAAAAACCUAAAAGUUUUUGCGAAAACUGUCAAUUAUUACCCGCUCAUGGUCUAUGUUAUUUUUUUUUUUCUUUUACAGAAUCUCUGUUAAAAGUUAAAACUAUAUUUUUCUCCUAUUUUUUAAUUUAUAUUGCAAACAAUCACACACAACUCUUUUCGCCAUAUAUUCCGAACGAAACUUUUAUCGUCAAAAGCUCUUUUAUUUCACGAAUUCAGAUAUUUUAUGACAAACUAAUUUUUUUUAAUUCAAUUUAUAAUCAUACAAAAAAAAACUCUAAAAAAUAUAAAGGAAUCAAAUCUGACAUAGCUAAAUUUAAAGCGUCCCUAGUAGGAGCAUCUUUAACGGAUACUUUAACGGGCAAAGCAAGUGAUAAUUGAGCAAAGAGACACGCCAACUUUGUUCCUACAGCUUUUUAUGAUUUUAUCUAUGUGCAGCUAAAAGCAUAAAAAAGGGUGUGAUAUAUAUCACAAUGGUUCUUAAAAUUAUAAACAUUAAUUAAUUUCAUUUCAUUUCUGAAAUUAUCAAAUGGCGAUUAUUUAAAAAGAGACUUUCAUUGAUUAAUAACUUCAUAAACUAAAAUGGCUGUCACUUAAUAAUUUAAGAAAUUAAAAUAAUAUUUUUAUAAUCUUAAAAUUAAUUAAUUUAGUUUCUGAACUAGUUGCAGAUGUUUUAUAUUAUUAAAAACUUCAUAAACUUAUCAACAAAUCAUUACUUCAACUAAAACUAGACUCAAAUCCUUUAAUUAAAAGAGAAAAAAAAUUAUACAUUAAUAAUAUAAUUUUCUUUUACCAAUUAUCAAUUAAAACACAUUAUGGAGAGUAAGUUUAAGUUUAUUAAUUUUUAAAAUAAUUUAAAAAAUAUAUUUAUAAUAAAUGAAAAUAUAAGAUUGUUUUACAUUAUUCGUAUGAGCAUUAAGCUAUAACUAAAAUUCAUUCUCAACUUUUUUUGAUUUAAAUAAAUAAUCGACAAAAUCACGAAAUGGUUCAUAUUAAUAACAUAGUUACCGAAAAUAAAAAAGAUAAUACAUCAUUAUUCUUAUUUUCUUCCUUCUUUAUUUUAUUUCCUUUCAACCAUAUAUUAUUCAGACCAUACCUUCUCUCGCAGAAUUUUGAAGAAUUUCUUACCGUAGACCCUGGUUCUUCCUUCCUUUGGGCAUGAUAAAGGUUAGUGACGAACGGUUGAAGUAAUUGGAAAGACACUCAAAGUCAAACAAAGGCUUAAAUCAAUGGUGACAGACUGACAGUGGCUGCCACAAUUGUAAAUGCCUCAAGGAACUUUGGAGCCAUAUUUAUUCCAAGAAAGAUUUGUUGGGAAAAAUGUAAAUAUCGCGUUAUCUAAAAAUAAAGUUAAAGUCAAAUUAAGAUAUAUAAAUGAGGAGUAAUUCAUAUCUUUCUAAUUAAUUUUUAGGGUUAAGUUAAAUGUAAAUCCACAUUCGUUAAGAUUCUAAGAAGAUUAAUUAAACUCUCUACAAUGGCUGCAUAUAUAAAAAAAUAAAAAAUACACUCUAUAAUGACUUGCUCAGCUUGGUCCAAUAAUUUCUGAAAUUAAAAGAAAAAUGGCUUGCUAUAUUUAAAGUAAUCAAAUGACUACUAUUAUUUUAGAAAUCUUAACCGUUAUUGAGUAACUUCAUUAAUUAAAUAAUAAUAAUCCCUUAGAAUGUAUUUGGAAGGCAAAAUGAAAAUAAUAUUAAACAGAAAUUUUGUACUUUUUAGUGGAAUGUAUAUCUUUUAAAUUUUAUUUUAAUUCAAAAAAUUUGAUUUUGUUUUCAUUUCUAAAUCAAACAACCAUUAAUAUUUUAACUGAAAAAUAGAAAUAUUUUGUACAAUCUUUCAAAACUUCAUCAGAUAUUCUAACAAGAAAAUAGAUUAUGGGCUGAUAACAUUAAUAAAUUUUAUAUUUUCAUUUAACUACAUAGUUCUUUAUAUAAAGUGAUGGAUCAAGAAAUUUUAAGUUGUGGAAACAAUAUCAUGCAUACAAAUUUUCGGGAACAAUAAUUAUAUUAUAAAUUAUUUUUUUAAUUGCAUUUCAAAUUAUAAGAACAAUUAUUUUUUUCAACUAUGCAUAUAUUUUAUACAAAAAAAUUUAUAAUAUUGUAAAAGAUUGUUCUUUUCUAUUACACCGGUUGACUUUUAUCAUAAUUAAUUUAAAAAUUAUAUCAAAAAUAAAUUAUAAUUAAACGAUGAUAUAAAAUAAUUUUAUAAUAUUAUAAAAGAUUGUUCCUUUCUAAUUUCUAUUAUACCCAAAUCCGUUGACAUAUUUUUUCUCUGACAAGAAGCUAGGGCAAAAGUAAGGGGCAGUAGUACCCUCAAUAUAAUGACUCCCACGUGGGUAAUCUCACGUGCGGCGAACCAUAUUGGCACGUGCAGCUUCCUCCACAGAAGAAACAAACCACUCCAUGCAUCAUGCACAUGCACUCCUAUAAAGGUGUCCCAAUGUCUCUGAGUUUCUCUUGUCAACAGGAUUCCCACCCCUAUUUUAAUUAAUUUUUCAUAUUGCACAAUAUUUUAUUUGCUAUAUUAUUUUAUUUAUUUUUUGGCUUUCAUAAAGUGGCACAGCUUUCUCCACCUUUCAGAAGCACAUGGACAAAAGUGUCACCAUCUAUGUUGGUCACAUGUCACUACACUAAUCUUUGCACGGAGAAUAAUUUUUUAAUCUUUUUCAUAGUACAAUGCAUCCUCCUAAAUCCUACUUAUUACAUAGGAAAAAAAGUAUUAGAUUAUUGUUUAUCUUAUCAAAACAUUAAACUUUAUCUAGUGUAUAAUUUAAUAUUUCUCUAAUGUUUUAGUGUUUGUAGUACAUAUGAAGUCAACUACCAAUUCGGGAUAUCUAAGUCGGAAGUUAAGAUUAAUUCUUUAUUGAAAUUUAUUUAAUAUAUUGACAUUUUUUCAAGAUGUUUCUCUAUACACACCUCAUGGAAUUGAAUCCUUCAACAUAUAUUCGGGAACAAAAUAUAUCUUAGGAAAAACGUAAUAAAUUAUUGUCAAGACAUUAAACUAUAUCUAAUUUAUGUGUAGAAUUAUUUAUUUAAUAUGAAAAUUUGUAUUUCAUUUCCUUCCUGUGUAAUUUUCUUAUAGUUAGUGACGACGAUCAGGGGUGAAUCCAUACUAAGAAGGUAGCAGGAACCAACAAUUAAAUACAAUAUAAUAAAUUUUAUACCAAAUUUUUAUAAUUAUAUAUUUCAAAGCAUAUAUUAAAAUAAUAAGAUAAACUAAACAUUUUAAAAAAAUAUGCAUAUCAAAUAUCAAUUCCACAUGCCAUUAAGAACUUUCAUAAAUGUUAUAAUAAGAAAUAAUAUUUACGUUAAUCAUAUAAUUUUAGGAAAAGGUUCUAUUAAUUUUGUUCAGAAAAUUUAUUAAAUCAACUUAAAUUAUGUUAUAAGAUGGUCUUUUAUGAGAAUAAUAAUCAAUAUCUAUAAGAAAAUUUUUCUUAUAAACCGUUGAAUAAUAAUAAGAAAAGAAGAAUGCUGCAUGUGACAAUAGUCAUUCUGUGUUAGUAAAUUUUGGCAAACCUACUGUACAUCCAAUAUCUGAUUUGCUUCUCCAAAAAUUACAUUAACCUUAUCUAAACAUGUGAACUAAAAAAUAUACAAAGAAUAGUGUUAAAUAAAAAAAGAAUAAUUUUUUUAUUUGUGUCUCAGAACUCAAACUGUCAAAUUCUUAUAUAAUAUUUAUCAACAUGUCCAAUUGGUAAAAGUUAAUAAAUAAUCUUUAAUUUUCAAAAUAAAUUAUCAAGGGAAUGCUAAUAAAAUUGUUUGAUAUAUUAUUUCAAAUAAAAAUAAUGAAUUAUAAAAAUUAAAAAAUAUUAAAAGUGGAAAAUUGUACUCAAAUAUUUUAUCUAAAAAAAGAAUAUAAUUAUCUUCACAAUGAAGAUCAUAAAAAGAUAUUGACUUAAAUAUAUUUUUUAUACUUAUAAUAUAUUUCUUUCUCAAUUUGCUUUCCAAAAAAUAUUUUUUUAUUUUUUUAUCUGACAAUUUUAAACUUUUAUUUUUUAUACCUACCAUUAAUUUAAGUCUAUUAAAUAAUGACAUUACACUUAGUUUAUCAUAUCUUCAUUUUUAACUUACUAGUCUAAUGUUAGAUACAAAAACAAAAGUUUGGAAAUGUCAUAUAUAUAUAUAUAUAUAUAUAUAUAUAUAUAUAUAUAUAUAAUAUUAUCUUCACAAUAAAAAUUAUAAAAUCGAAUCAAACAAUAAUUUUUUAAAUAUAAGAGAUAAAGACAUUUAAAUAUUAUAUUCAUUCCAAAAUAAAAUAAUUGUUCUAAUUUUAAAAUAAUAUAUACAAUAAAAAAAAUUAGAAAAAGUUAAUGAGGAGGGAAGAGCAAGUCCCCCGGGACCAACGUAGGCUUGCCCCUAACUACAAUCAUGCAACAUGAACAAGAUCAAUUUGUAAUCCACGGGAUUAGAGAGGAUACCUAUGAUUUCUGAUCCAAGCAAAAAAUCAUAUCUAAUAUUAUUGUAUGAUUCAAUAUUAGUAAUCUAUAAGAAGUUCAAAGUGUUUAAUUUUUUCAUGUAUCUUUCGACCAAAAUUUAAAAAUUAGUCUCUUGAAGUAUAAAGCUUCACCUAAGGGAAUAAUCUUUUUUAAUAUUUUCAUACAUACAAAUUUGGAAUCGAAUUCAAUAACUACAUGGGAACUAAAAUUAUUUAUCAAUCAUAUCACACUUAGAUUAAAUUUGUUGAAUUUAGAACUAUAUAGAAUAAUAAAAAAUUAUAUGAAAUGAAACAAUAAAAAGCAUAGAGAAUAAUCAGAUGAGUCCAAUCCAACUUCUUCAGGUGCUAGGAUUAAGUGUGAACUUUUACAUAUUCAGUUGAGUUUGACAAUGUAAGUCGAUUUUUACUUAACAUAUGGUGACCACUUCCCCUUGCAGCUAGCCUAAGUAAUCAAUCUCAUGAAAUGUGAACACUUGUUGGAGAUAUUCGAUGUUGCCUCCGAACAAGGUCCGAGAUAUUCUCGCAAGGUGGUCUUCUUUUUCAGGCAGAGCAGAGAUUGGUGGCGAGCAGUUACUGAAGAUUUCAGCGGAAUGGCCGUAAGAUGUCAUAAACGCAUAGUGACACAUUUAUAAGGACAUUCUGUGGUGGACUGAAGUAGGAUCCGAAAAUGAAUUGCAUCCAAAUAGUGAACUCAUUUAACUUGUGUAAAAACUCAAAAAUGGGUUGAACCCAUAAUUAAUCAACCACACUAAUGAGUAAAGAGACUGGUUGGAUUGAUGCAUUUGAUUUAUUUUUUUUCGUUAAAUGCUUUUAUGCAUUAUUUGGUUAAAUAUUUUUUUUUGUUAUUAUGAAUUUUUUUAUUUUGCACUACAUUUAUUUAAUUCGUGAUAAUAACUUGUAGAGAGCAUUUGUGUCAAGGUUUAGUACCUUAAUAUUCUUGUGAUUGUAACAUUAUGCUUUGGCUUAAAUGAUUUAUAUUUUAUUUAUUUAUUUGACAAAUUAACUUAUAAGUUUUUAUUUUUUUAUUUUUAUAAUUUUUAGUAAGUCAAUCUAACCCAACCCAAAAAUCAAUUAAGGUUGGAUUAUUCAAUUGAUUCAAUUCAAAAUGAAUUCAACUCAAAAUGAAUUCAACUCAAUCAAAUCUAUUUUUUUUUUACAAGAGUAAAAUGAGUUAGAUUUUUUUUAUGCAUAGCAUUUAGUGAGAGGGAGUGGUGUUGAGUCCAAAGUAAAAAAAUUCCUCAAACUCAAAGAACAUAUAUAUAUAUAUAUAUAUAUAUAUAUAUAUAUAUAUAUAUCACCUCAAAUUCAAAGAGACAAAUAAGAAGUUGAACCAAACCUAUAAGAUAUGAAAUUAUAUUUUAUUCCAUUCCAUCAAUCUUUCGAAUUAAUAGAUUGAGUAAGAUCAAUUAUUUUCACAUCUCUAAAAAGUGAAUUGUGCAGGCUCAAUGACCCUAUUUGAAAGUGUUUACCUAUUUUGAGAGUUUUAUGCUAUGAAUUUAUUCUUAAUUGAGGUAUGGUUUUGGGUUCAAGGAUAUAUUUAAUUCACCCUGCAACUGAGACCUCCUACGAACUUCCACUCAAUUACUUUUAUGGGCCUUUGAGUUGACUUAUAUUCUGGGUCGAGGUGAAUCAGCUCUGUGGAUUGGGCUUACGUUGUCCAAUCAAGAACAAAAUCCACCUAUUUGUAUUACUCACGUUUAAUGCUUUUGCGGUUAUUGUAUCUCCGUAGUAAGGAGCUGUUAAAUAUUUAUAAAAAUAAAUAAAUUAGUGUCAACAUUGAAGUCACCGAGACAUUUAGUUUCAUGCUAUGAAAUACGAAUACUUUCUCUUGGUGUUAUUAUGUUAGACAUGUUUAUAACAUGACACAUCUUAACAUUUGUUUAACACUUGUGUGAUACUUUUUAUUAGGUAUUUAAUUUAAAAAUUAUUUUUUGUUAGUUUAAAUACUUAAGUUGUCACAUUUACACCAUUUAUACACUUAAUAAACAUGGAAGAUUGAUUUAAAAAGAUGAAUAUACCAUUUAUUCAAAUAUUUUGUUAAUUGUUACUCAUAUUCAUUUCAUUAGAGUCUUUCUUAUGUGUGUAUGUGAUGCCCCAUGUCCUAGAUUUUAGAUAUUAGUCAUGUCAAAAUGUUAGUAUCAAUGUCAAAAUUCGUGCUUCAUAGGUUCCAUGACAUUCAAUAUUUCUAUAUUUACCUAUGACUCAACACAAAUGUCACAAUUAAGAAAGGGAACUCAAAUUGUUUGCUAUCUCAUUUUUCAUUAUAGUCGUUGAUCUAAUUAAAUUAUGUAACAUUCAUUUUAACGUUUCUCACCAAAAUUUUAACUUUGUAAUAGUUGUUGAUAUAAUUCAAUGUGAUCUAAUAUUAAUGGAGGAUUAUUAAUUUUUAAAAUUAAACUUAUAUAUAUAUAUAUAUAUAUAUAUAUAUAUAUAUAUAUAUAUAUAUAUAUAAUAAAAGAUAAUUAUGAUUGAGUGUCUUUUGAUUUACUCUUUUUAUUAAAUAGAAAUAGAUAAAACUAAUAAAACAAAAGAUAAUGUAGUUACUCUAAAAUAGUAUUUGUUAUGCCCUCUCCAUUUGUAUUGUUAUACUGUCCCUUCUUAACAAUAAUAAUAAUAAAUAAUGAUAUACAAUUUUGAUUAUUCUAAAUGAGUAUUUAAUUUAUGAUGUGGUGAAGUUAAUCAAAUCAAAUAUUCAAUAAUAUCACAUAAUUAAAAUUAAUACCUUAAAAAUCUUUAAAAAUAUUACUUUAAAUAAUUAAGAACUAUAUCUAUUUAAUAAAAAUUAUACUAUUUCAAAAAAAAAUAUUUAAAAAUGUAAUUUUGAUAAUAAAUGUAUUUAAAAAUUAUUACAUAUUAACAUUAUAUCAACAAUAAAUAAAAUAAAUAGAAAAUUUUAAUAAUUAAUUUAGUAUUAUAUAUUUAUAUUUAUUAUUUUGGAUUCUUUUUUAAUUUAUACUUUUUAUAUAAUAAGAAUAGAUUUGAAAAUCAAAAAUAAAUGUUUGAUUAUGUUUUUUCCCUUCCUAUUGAUUAUGUUGAUUAUGUGAGUGAGAAAUGAUAUAAGUGCCAAAUUACUCACACCAUUCUUAAGUUUUUUUCUUUCAGAACCAUUAUUAUGAUUAUGUAUUUUAAAAGACUCAUAUAUUUAAUGAUUUUAGAAUUAAUUUAAUUAUUUUAUUUUAUAUUUUAUUUAUACUAUUUAAAUUGUAAUAUAUAUGAAAUAUAUAAUUUAUAAGGAAAUAUUUGAUAAGUUACUUUAAUAAGUGAUAGUAUUUGAUAUACUUUAUUUAUAAUGAUAACUGAAAAAAUUGACAAUCAAUGUGCCUAAUUUUAAAAAAUACAUAUGAUACUUAAAAUUUCAUUUAUAAGGAAUUGCUUAUACUAAAUUAUAAAAUGAUACCAACUUUAUUUUUUUAAAAUAUUUUUAUAACACAAAGGAUUAACAAAUUUUAAUUUAAAUAAUUAUAAAUUUAUAUUUAUUAUUUUUCUUUUGAAUUUAUAUAUUUAGGUAUUACAUCACUAUUGUUACUUAGAGAAAAAGAACAAAUCAUGAUAAAUUUUAAAAUACUUAGUGUUUUUAAAGAUAAUAUCUGCCUUUUUAAAAAAAUAUAAUUAAUUUUUUACUCAAUUUUAAUGCAAUUGUAUUUUAUAUGAUACUAUAUAUUUGAAAAAUGAUAAAUUUAUUUUUUACAUAUAUAUAUUUAAAUAAUACUAAAUACAAAUAAUACUAAGUACAAAAAAUUUUAAAAUUUGUAAUUUAAUUAAACAUGUGUAUGGCAGAAAUAUAAAAUUUAGUAGAUAUGUAAUAUUUCCUUUUUAGGAGAAGAGUAAAACAUUUGUAAAUAAAAAGAAAAACAGAAAAUUUGGGAAUUGGUAACCAUAACAUUGACCAUUGUUGUUUUCAAUAGUUGAGAAGUACACAUUAGUUAGGAGGUUGUCAAAGGUUGAGAUUUAGUCAUGCAAUUAAUUAGUUAGGCACAUAACAAUGAUAUAAAUGGGUCUAUCUUAUCAUCGGUGGUUAUAUUUUAUUAGAUUAAUCAAUACAAUGACAUACUUUUAUAGUUAAAAUCUAGUAAGAUUAUAAUGUGUUAUUUUUUCUUUGGCGGAGCCAUGAGCUCAUGGAUGCCAUCGCUCAUCUAUGCUCCUUGCUUGGAAAAACAUGUCAUCGCUAAUACGGCUCCAUUGAUGACAUGCAAACUGAAUCGUCCAUGAGUCUAGUCCUCAUUCGUCAUUGGUUCAAAUGUUAGAAGGCUUUAUUUGUUGAUGAUAAUUGAUAUUCUAUUGAGAUGAUGUAGAUGAUGAUGUUGAGUUUUAGAAUUCACAAAACUUCGUCUACUGCAAAAGUCGCAACCCCUUCUCUUGGCUAUUUGAAUUCACACAAAGCUUCAUUCACACAAAUUUUGUUUAUCGGCUUACAAUACUAGUAGAGGUGUUAGAGACACUAAAAACUGAUUUAACAUUCACGCAUUUUCAUUUCUGGCUAAUUUGUAAGUAUUUUUUUUCUCUCACACACACAAUCUCUCAUGCUCCACAUCUUGAUUGAAGCUUUAUCUUAUUCUAGUCUAGGUUGUUGCCAAGAAAGUCAUAAUAUUAAUUUCAUCAGUUAAUGCACUAAUGCUUGUAAUAGGAAAGAAACAUUUAUAAUGCAAGCUUUACUACAAAUUUGUCUUGCUCAUCUUGCCAAGGUUUGAUUCCAUCCUAUAAUAUCAUGCUUUGUUAAACUCAUGCCUUUGUUUUACUCAUGUUUAAUGAUAUAAAAACCAAUUAAAUGUCGACUGUCAACCCUCUUCCUUACAAAGCAAGGUAAAGAUGAUGAGAAUUAAAAAGGUGCUACAGAAGGAAGACAUUCGUCUAAAAUAAGUUAAGAUUGUGAGGAGACAGAUGGGGUGGUCCAAAUAUAAUUUCAAUUUCAACUGGUGUUGCAUAGCAAUGAAUAAGCCAAGAGAUUAUAUACUUGUUAUUUUAAUAUAGAUUUAUGAAAUUGGCUUGACAUCUUAUGAUUUUAAUAUUAUUUCUACUAUGAACUUAACUACUCAACCUCAAGAGAAUGCUUCCUAUGAAGAUGGUCAAGCAACAAUGAAGUAUUUUGUUACAUUUAUCCUCUAUCUUCUAUAAUCUCAAUUGGGAUCUAUUUUUUACUAAUUUAACCAUUAGUUUCUAUAACUUUACCAUGUAAGCAAAUUAAUAUAUCUAUAUUUGAUUUUGAACAUUAAUAAUAGUAUAAUUUAAUAGCAUAAUGUACUUCUUGAAGAAAUAUUUUGACGAACAUAGAUCAACUUGCAUGAGCUUCUACAUUCGUAUAAAUUAAGAAUGAAGUCUUCCACUUCAAUCCUCUUUGUCAAUUAAUAGAGCAAUGAACAAUUAGAUAAUGUGAGAGUGGAGUAGGGAUAUUGCCCCCUAAUUUGUAUAGCACUAGUCUAGGUCCAUCCAUCAUGAAAGAUUAUUAGACCCUACAUCAUAAGUUAGCGGGAGUGACUAUUGAGCCAUGCAUAUCUCCGUUGCUAUUGGCUCUUACCUCUAUGUGAAAAGAUCCUUUUGCCCCCCUAAUUCAAAAUUCUUUGCCCUCCUUUUUCUUCAUUCCUUUACCGGCACCCCACCUUCCUAGCAUCCCUUUCCCUUGUGUCUCCCUCCAACGUCCUAAACACUCUCCCUUCUCCUUCCCAACUCAUUCCCUUCUCAACCUGCUCCCAAACCUUCACUUCUCCUUCCCUUCCCAAACCCUUUGUGCCCUUCUUCACAUUCGCUCCUCCCUUUGGUAUUUUUUUUUCUCUAUCUUCAUUUUCUUUUUUUUGGCUGUUGAAUGACACAAUAGAAUAUUGAUUUCAUUGUGUGUUUUUGAUAAAAUAUACAACAAAAUCGUGAUUCCAUUGUGUAUUUUUUUUACUUUUGAAUGCCACAAUGGAAACACGAUUUCCAUUGUGACUUUGUCCAGACACACAAAAGAAUCGUGAUUUCAUUGUGUGUUUGGACGUACAAAGUCCAUAGUAGAAUCGUGAUUUUGUUGUUUGUUGGAACAAAUGCACAAUGAAAACAUGAUUCUGUUAUGCAUUAUGUUCAUAUAUACAACAAAAUCGUAAUUUUGUUGUAUAUUUUGUCCAACAAGCUCACGAUUUUGUUGUGUCUAGACAAAAUACACAAUAGAAUCGUGAGCUUGCUAAACCUCAGAGUUGUGCCAAAAGGUAUGAGUCAUUAUCAACUCUUACAACAAGCUUUGCAAGUAUUGCACGAAGGGUUAGCAGUCGAGUGCAACUCAAACAUACAGAGACCUAGGAAGAGGUUGCCAACAAGAAGGGUGGCAAAGGCAGUUGAUCAUGGUAUUGAACAUUUAUUAUUGUUGUUAUCUAUUUAUAUUUGGAUGUAGUGUCUAUAGUUUUUUUUAUGUUGGUUUCAAAUAUAUAUUUUUCUCAAUUUAUGUUGUGGUUGAAUUACUUUUUUGUGUGUUCAUCAAUGAUUUAAAUAACACACGUCUCAUAAUAUAACAACAAUGGUCUCUUCAUUUGAUUCAUAAAAUAAACAUCAACCACUAAAGAGACACUUAUAUCGACUUUUAUUAAAAAAAAAUAACUAACUUACGAUUUUUAUAAAUUAAAAACAUGACUACACAAAUUUAUCACACAUCAGAGCAAUGAUUUCAUCAAUAGAUCUUGGUUUUCCUAGUUUACAUACUAGGAUAAGGAUUUCAUUUGGGGAUCGAGCAAACAUUGCAUGCAACACAAUUGGACCUUUGCUACUAACUUCCAAAGGGAUGAAAAAUAGUUUUCCCACAUCAUUGUUGCAUUUAAGCUCCAUACACUCAUAUUCUAUACAAGCAUCACCUACAUAAACAGGUUUGACGGUAAAAAAAAGGUUAAGUAAAAUUCUGCUACCUCUGAUAACGUCCAUAAUUGUUUUUCUUAUAGCAUCAAGCGACAUGCCUUUAUUUAUUCUAACGACUUUAGAACCACUAGCUAGGAUAUCAAACAAUAUCCCUUCAAAUGAUGAAAUCAUGUCACCAUUGCAAUACACAACAGCAGAUACAUUCCAUGUUUUCAACAAUAUGGUGAAUAUCAAUCAAAGGUGUUGAGUUGCAACAAACUCCUAUUGCUAUUUAUAUUAGAUGAUCUAUUGUUCUCUUAUGACUCAUAGAAACAAUUGAGAUCGAACCAACAAGAUAAAUAGUUUAGAUUGUGUCUAUAUUUAAUAUAAUUGAUAUGCGCAUAAAAAAAAUAGUGUUCGGUCAAUCAUUGCAAUGUUGUAAUGUUCAAUCAAUAAAAAAAAUACCAAAUUCAUUUUUAAUUUUUUUUUCAAUUUAAAAAGAAAAAUCUAUUACAAUCACAACACAACGAAAUCGUGAUUCUGUUGUACUAUUUAGGGUGACAAACAAAAUAGCAAUAGAAUCAUGAUUCUAUUGUGUUAAAGGGGUGCAACAAAACCAUAAAAUUGUGAUUCCAUUGCAUUGUCUCGAUAACAAAAAAAUUGUGAUUCUAUUGUGUUGUGAUUCCAUUGCACUACGACAAACAAAAUAGCAAUAGAAUUAUGAUUCCAUUGCAAGUAUUGUCAUACAACAAAAACAGGUUAUGUUGUGCAUGACCUACAACGGUACCAUGAUUUUAUGGGAAGGAUAGUUUGGGAAUAAGAAAAGGGAUCAGCCCCUUGAUAUGAACUAAUAGCAAUAGGAGUGAGGUCAAUAACAACCCCCAAAGUUAGCACAUUAAUUUACCAUUGGGCCCAAACCCAUGAUGAAUCACUACAUUAUAUGAGUAAGAAUAUUCAUGCUACCAAUUCAAACUGUUUUUCAAAAAUAAAUGAAAGAAAAUGAUUUUUUUUUUAAAAGCACCAAUCAAUAGAAGCUUAACAUUCUAACAUACCACUAAUAGCAUGAAGGAGUAUCUUAGGCACAUCUAAAAGGACUUCUUGGAUCAAUAGAUAGGGAUGUCUCUAAUGAUUUCGUUGUGAUUCAAGGUAAAUUUAUUUUGGUUUUCUUUUCAACAUUUAAAUUUCUAUCUACAUCCUGAAGUUGAAGAUGAAAAAUUCAUUCUUUUGUCUUUUACAAAGUAAUAUGUUCAGUAAAUAUAUAGGAGAGGUUUAGGUUAUAUUUAUAAAAAUUCUUUUAGUAUUCAAAAGACCUUUACAAUAAUGGAGAAAGAACUGAACUUGUAAAACUUAGGGUCAUUUACAGGUCUUUUAGUAGUCCAGAUCAUUAAAUUCAAUGCUGAAAUUUUAUAUAUGCGACUUAGAGCUUAGGGUCAGAUUGCAAAACUUGAAGCAACUUGACUAUUUUGGUUAAGAGUAAAUACUGAAAUUAGUUCUUGAAAGAUUAGUGAGAUAUCAAGUCAGUACAUUGCGGACAACACAUUAAUAUNNNNNNNNNNNNNNNNNNNNNNNNNNNNNNNNNNNNNNNNNNNNNNNNNNNNNNNNNNNNNNNNNNNNNNNNNNNNNNNNNNNNNNNNNNNNNNNNNNNNUCUCUUUAUAUAUAUAUAUAUAUAUAUAUAUAUAUAUAUAUAUAUAUAUAUAUAUAUAUAUAUAUAUAUAUAUAUAUAUAUAUAUAUAUAUAGCAUGUCUUAUUUAUUUUACUUUCUGAUUCUCAAAAAAAAAAAAAAAAAAGACUCGCACUCAAAUAACAAUAUUAGGAUGGAAAAUCAUUGAGAUAACAUAGUUUUCCCCCAGUAAAGUUGUUAAUGUUGACCCCUGAAGAGAAUAAAAAAAAUGGGGAAACAGAUGAAGAGUUGGAAAGUCAAAAUGAAAGAACUAACGCUGAUUUUGACCCACAUAAAAUACUAUGGUAAUGCUCGGAGACUAAGCAUAAUUUAAAUUUCAAAGAACAAUAAUUUAUUGAAGUUUUAUAUUCAAAGUUUUAAAUUGCCAGUCACUAUUGGUUGAGAGACUCUUGAUAUUGUGAAAAAUCAAUUAUAAGUAGUAAAUAAUUUAGUGAAGUUAUUAUAUUCAAAGUUUUAAAUUGGAACUGUAAUCACAAUUCCUUAAAACUCUUGAUAUUGCAGAGAAUUACAUAUAAAUGGUAGUUAAUUGUGGUGUUAUCCAAAAUUACACAAACCAUUUUUUAAAACCAUGAUUAUAAUUAAAAAAUAAUUUAGUGAAGUUGUUAUAUUCAAAGUUUUGAAUUGCAUUGUAAUCACGAUUCGUUGUGACUCUUGAUAUUGCCAGAAAUUAUGUAUAAAUGGUAGUUAAUGCGGCUGUAAUUGUGGUCGUAUCCAAAAUUGUGCGAACCAUUUUUUAAAACUUUGAUUAUAAUUAAAGUUUAAAAUCUUUGGUUAAAUUUUCUCACUCGAAAUAUUCAACUGUACUUAUAGGUACGUCGUUCAAGUACAUGCCUAAUUUUCCACCUUAUUAAAGUUGUGUGUAAAGAAAAUCUCCAAAAAAGUUAACCUUAAACGUAUUGUGUAUGUUUUCCAUUUAAAUAAGAUUGUCUUUUGUAAAACCAACUGUGUUUCCAGAUAAAAAAAAAUUAUUUAAAAUGUGACCAGUAACCACCAAAAGAAUAAGAUAAAGAAAGUAUAUUACACAAAAAAGGAAUGAUAUAUGAAUUAAAAUAAGACAAAUAUAAUAGAAAAGUAAAAUAAGAUGGAGGUAUAUGUUUCGAGGAUUGAUUCUCCCUUGAAAAAUUCUGUAUGGUUUUGGUCCAAGACUCCUAGUUGUCCUUUAAAAUUUGUAAAAGGACAAACAAGUCAAUAGGAAAUUAUAAUUCUUGCUAGUAUUUCUAGUAAAUGGGGUUAAGUGCAAAGCACUAAGCAGGUCAUGCACAUGCAUGAAUGGUAUAUAUAAAGAUUUUUUUCUGUCUCUAAACAAUGCCCUUUAGGUCUCAUGAAAAGGCAAAUGGAAUGAAAAUAGAAGUAUUAUCAAUAUUAUAGUAAACCAACUCACCCCAACAGUUGCUUAUCAUUGGCAAAAGGGUCAAACAAAAUAAUAAUGAACAAGUCCAAUUUUUUAAAUUUGGUAAAAUUCCACCACCUCCUUUGCUUGUUGUUCAAUUCAAAAAUCAACCUAGAAGAUCCUUGAGAUUCUGGAUGAAAUCUGUGGGAUAUCGCUUUCCAAACUGUCAGAUUUCCUAUGAGGAUUAUGUAUCUUCUUGAUCAUGAUAGGUUCCCAUUUAAAAUGUCACACUCUCAUUCAACUCAUUACAUUAUUCUUCAUCUCUAUCCCUCUUCCUUGUUCUCUUCUUUCAUCCAUUUUUCUUCUUCUGUUGUGGCUAGCUAGCACAUAAUAUCUUCCAAGUUAUUAUGGCUAUGACUGUAGAGGCUCAGUUCCAUGUUUUGGCUGUUGAUGACAGUAUUAUUGACCGAAUGCUGAUUGAGAGGCUCCUAAAAACCUCUUCCUUUCAUGGUACUUUUUUUUUGUCCACUAUUUACUUUAUUUCUUUUAAUAUGCAUUUUUAUUGUUAUACCGCCAAAGGUUUUGAAGAAUGAUCUGUCACCGUCACAUUUAUCUAUAAUUUCCCACAAUAACAAAAAACGCAGCCAAAAUGUGGCUGUGACCAUGUUAUAAAACCUUGAUAUUGCCAUAUUAUCGAAGAAACAUAUGAUAUGAGCAUGUUGUUUGUUUGUGUAAUCAUUUAUGAUAUUUUUCCUUUUUCCUGAAGGUGGGAUUUGGGGUAAUGAAUUUGAUAACUGAUAUUUGAUUCUUGUGAAUAUUUGUUGAAAUCACAGUUACUACAGUGGACUCUGCCACUAAGGCCUUAAAAUUUCUUGGUUUGGUUGAAGAUGAGUUGAGGACUUUUGACACCACUGUUGCAUCAGAAAUUCAUCAGGUUCAAUUCUCUAACUAAAUAAUUACUCACACAUAUGCCCUAAAACAUUUUUGUGGACAACUUUGUAUUAACCGUUGGUUAAAUUGUUCAUGCAGGAUGUAGAUAUAAACCUGAUUAUAACAGAUUACUGCAUGCCAGGAAUGACUGGCUAUGAUCUGCUGAGAAAAAUCAAGGUAGGCUUUCGUGCAUUUACCAAGACUUUUUUAAGAAGCUUGUGUCACUUUUUUAUUUGAUUAAUCUAGCUUCAAUUUCGUUGAAUCCUACCAUACCAUAUGAAUACAUCACAGAACUUGGUCAAAUUAUGCACGAUGGAUUUGAUUUUGCCUUUCCAUCUUUUAGGAAACAAUUUGAAAGGAUAUGAUCUUAUUUCUGAAAUAAAAAUUAUGUGAAUUUUUAGACAAUUUUUUUUAAAAAAAAUUCCUUCUGACAUCUUAGUUGUCAUAUUUUCCAAAUUUCCAAUAUAGCAAAUCAAAUUUGAUCAUGGCCAUCAUGGUAUAUCUUUGACAGCCUGUAUAUUCUUCUGCUUGAUGAUGUUAAAAAAUAAUAUUAAGUUCCUUGAUUUGCAGGAAUCUAAAUCUCUUAAAAACAUACCAGUUGUGAUUAUGUCCUCAGAGAAUGUACCAUCAAGGAUCAACAGGUGAGGAAUCCUAAACUCCCAAUCCAAUACCAACUUAAUUAUUUUGAAAUUUUCAAAUUCACAUAUUAUGGGGGCAUCACAUGGCUAAAUUUGACUAACAUGCCCUUUUUAAAAUAAAUAAAAAAUCACAUAUUAGGGGUCAUCACAUGGCUUACAUGACUUUUUUUUUUCUUUUCAAAAUUUCAAAUAAAUUUUAGGGGGCAUUACAUGCCUAAAUUUCAUAUUUGACUUACAUGACAUUUUUUUUUUUUUUGUAUCAGAUGCUUGGAAGAGGGAGCAGAAGAGUUCUUUCUGAAACCAGUUCAACAGGCAGAUGUGAACAAGCUGAAGCCACAUUUGAUGAAAUCAAGAGCAAAGGAAGAGCAAGACCAACCCUUCAAUAACAAAAGGAAGGACAUGGAAGAAAUCCAUUCCCCAAAUAAAACCAGAAUAAAAUGUAGCAGUUAAAAUUGGUUUCAAAUUAAAAAUAAAAAAAUUGAUGAAACAUAGGUAGUGCCUAUAACAUUUUCCUCUUCUCUCGCUUGCUUGGUAGUGAAAAGUUAGGCAGUCAAUAAUCAUGCAAAAGGGAUAAAGAGUACAAGUCAUUUAUGUAAAUAGCCUGAGAAAGAAUUCCAUUCAAUUUUGGUCAUCAAAUAUCAUUUCAUUUUGACAAGUCUUUUUAAUUUCCAUUGUGUCCUUCAUCAGUUUAACCUAAAACAGGCGCCUCAAUUUUCUUCCUAGCUUCACUUUUAUGUUUUUAUUUUAAUUAGAGUUUCUCCAGCAUGUUCAAAAUUAAAAUUAAAGUCUAUUUUGGAUUGGAUAAUAUUUACAAUUAAUUAUAGAUAUAAUCGACUAUUGUUAAUAAGUUUUAUUUUUGGAUAUGUUACAUACAAAUAAUUUUAAGAUAAUUUAUUUGAUUUUUUUUGGUAGAGAGAUAAUUUAUUUAUUGAUUACUUUUUUAUUAUAAAAUAUAAAAAAGGAAUUAAAUUAUUUAUAAUAGUUGUUUUAUAUUUAAGUUAAUCAAUAGAGAUAAAAUAAGAAAACAAAAAUCUUGUAAAAAAUAAUCUAGCUAUUACCUUUUGAUCAGAAUUCUAAAAUUUUGUUUUACUUAAAAAAAAAACUAUUUCCUUUUUUUGUUAUAAUCCAAAAUACUAAACACAUUGUAAACUGUAACAAAAAAAUAAAAAACGCGUUGUAAUGGUAAAAAACCUUUAAAUGCAAAUCUUUUAGCAGUUCUUUAUUUUCUUUGGUUGGCGGUAAGAGAAACAACUCAAACAAAGAACGAUAUCACCACUAAAAAUGCUUUAAUAAUUUGAGCAGUAUUUUUAUUUUUACUGUAUUUACAUAAUAAAAUAAGAAAAAAAUACAUAUUCCGCUAUAUGUAUUUGCAUAAUAAAAUAAGAGAUUUGUUGGUUACCACAAACGCCAUAAAAAAUAUCGAGCAUUAGUGCAAAAUAAUAAAUUCAUAGAAGAAAAGAAGCAUCAAUUUUUUUAAAAAAAAAAACUUUCUAAGUAAGUUAUCUUUUCAAAGAGUACAAUAAAACAAUGCUAAUUUGAGAUUAUAGAGUAAAUCCAAGUUUUCAAAGUAUAGAAUGAAAAAUAUAUCCUUAAAAAUGCUAAUCGGGAGUAGAUCGAUGUAUGAGAAGCCAAGUGCAAAUUAAAUGCAUAUAAUAGAUAGGGAAGACUUCAAUGAGAUAGGCAUUGACGUAAAUCACUAAGCUCUGGGAUAACAAAGCAAAGAGGCAUUAUUUGAUGGAGGUGAAAUGAGAUUUUGAACAUAAUGCGAAAAAAAAGACAGGUAAAAGUGAAAUUGCAUUAUAAUGCUAAGGAUAUAAUAUAUGGUAAGAAAAUAUUAAUUAAUGAUCUUUUAUAAAAGUUAUUAAUUAUGCUUGACAUAAGUAAUUAAAGAUCUAAAAUGAACUUUCACUUUUCUGAUGUGGGUUUUAAUCUCCUUAACAUUACUUUUUCCAUUUGCUGGACAUCCCACCUUAGGAAGAUCCUCUUACGCCUAGGGACUAAUUGAGUGAAAUUAGUUGCAGUUUGAACUUGUGCUCUAAUCCUUUAAGGGGUCUCUGACUGAUAAGUAAAAAAACAAAACCUAAGAAGCUUAUAGUUUAAAUACUUACAAGUAAUAAGCUGGAAAAAUAAACUAGUCUAUGAAACACUUAUAAACUAAUCAAAUAAGUUAUAAAUUAAUUUGAAUGUCAUGUCAAGUACACUCGUAAUUACAACUACAAGAAUUAAAUCCCACAUAGUAAAUUGCAAUUAAUAAAGAAAAGAAAUUAGCAGAAAAGAAGGUUAAGGGUAAACCAAAUAGUUAAAAAAAUUUUGAGAGUGUAAAGUCAAAGUUAGACUCAAAGUGAAGUAAAAAAAAUAAUGAAUGAAUGAAUGCUUUAUAGUGCGGUGAUAUAUAACCACGAUCAAAGGAGUUACAAAAGAAGUGAAGAAAAUUUAGAUUUUACAAACGUAACUUAAAAAUAAGAGAUGAGGAAAUUUAACUUGGUAAUUUCAUGUUUUUGCUUCUACAUAUGAUAGAUAAUAGAUAUAGUGAGAAAUUGGGAGACUGAUAUUUUGUUUUGGAGGAAUUUUAUAGUACUUAAUUUUUAUUGAAACAUGAUAAUAAAAAGAAAGUGACGUGCUUGACUUUAUUUUAAAUGCAAGUAAUGAGUACUAGAAGGAAAUGGUUCGAUCGAAGCAUGAGAGUCACAGCUAAAUAAAAACGUUAAAACAUACAAACUACAUUAGUAUGAGAAAAUAAAUUAUGCAUGCACAUUGUAAAACAACCAUACAAUUAUAAAUUAUUAAAUAUGAUAAAUUUAUUAAUUUUUAUAAUAAUUAUCUUAAAGAUCAUAUUAUUGAUGAUUUGUGAUUAAUUGAUAAUGUGAAAUUACUUUAUACAUAAUUACUAAACUUAAUUACUAAUAUGUUUACAAAAUAAUUUACCUUUAGAAAUUAUAUAAACUAUAUAUUAUAAAUAAAUUACGUGGCCUAAAAUAUGAUUGAGUAAAAAAAUCUUAACUGUGUUGAAGUUUUGAAUUUUAACUAUAAAAUAAUCUAAAUUGAAAUAAAUCAAAAGGUAAAAGGAUUUGAGUGCUAUUACCAAACCAAAUCAAACAACUUCAACUCACGAAUUUGAAUUGAAAAGUCAUUUUUUUAGUUUAUGACUUAUUUAACUAGUUUGUAAAGAAACUUAUCUAACUAGCCCAUAGCAUUUUUCUACAUACUAUUUGAACUUAAAUCUUAUUAUAAUUUUUUCAUUUUUAUUUUCAAUAUCUUAAUAAAAUUCUUCAAUUACUGUUUCCUUUAAUAAACUAUAAUUAUCCAAAAAUAUAUUUUUAUCUACAAAAUAAAAAAUAGAAACAAAUCAUAUUAUUAUCUAAAAUUGAUAUUUUUUUUAUAUAAUUUCAUGUUUAUUAACUAAUUAAAUGUUUCUAAUUCAAUAACCUGGUUUAACUUUUAGUGAAAAACUAGUUUUCUAUCUUUCAAUAACCUAAAUUAGUUUUAUCAAUUAUUUUUAAUAAUAAAAAAAUCAUUCAAAAUUUUUAAAGAACUAAAAAAUGAUGGUCAAAUACAAUGAAAGUAGAAUCUAAUUGGAGUUUAACCUUAAGUCAAACAUGUUAUUUGCUUUGAGAAAAGAGCUGUAGGCUCUCUUAACAUGUUUUUUCUUUUUCGGGAUAAACACAGUACUUCUUAGUUAUGAGUCAAAGACUGAUAUUUUGAAGUAAAAAAUUCAUUUAUGAAAUUGAUAUCUCUCAACAAAUGUUUCUUUAUAUGAUGAGACCUGAAAAUCAAAUCCUUAACCUAGUACUUAAAGAACAAAAUUAUUUCUCAUUCAUGUCAUGUUAGUCUCUAACAUCUUCCUCUAUUGAUAGUUUUUCGUUUAUUCAAAUUAUGCUAAUUUUGCUUAAGCUGCCGUUAUGUAACCCCCAAGGCGUCCUUCUAAUCUGUGGUGGCCUUAACUUGAGGGGAUUUCCAACAUAAAACAUAAAACAUAAAACAAAAUUAGGAAUCAUUUUUGCUUUUAUGAACGAUAUUUCAUAAUAAGCAUAUUAAGACCAAAAAAAACUCGCACAGUUGUAAUCAUUGAAUCUAAUAAGCAACAAUAUUCAAAAGAAACUUUUCAAAAUAGUGUUUACUAUUGACAAUUAUAUCACGCUUUGUUACAUCACAAUCAAAUAGAUGAUGCAACACCCUGAGAUACAUUGAACGAAGGCACAAGUGGCAUACUGUUGAUGCAAACUCUUUCAAGUGGAAAUUCCGAAAAGCACAAUAUCUUGAUUCUGAACGUGCGUUUGUCUCACCUCUGAAGUCCAUAUCAUACUGGAUGCUGCUUGAUUUUGAGCGAUCAACCACGUUCCACAGCAUUUUAGGAUGCAAAAAUUGUAUGAUACUCAAGCCGAUGUAACCUUCACAACUCGUUAAAAUUCCUGCUGGUAAACCUGACAAAAAUGUCUAAUCUAUAAAUAUUGUCCACAUAUUAAAACAAUGUCUAUGUGCAUUGAAACCAACGUGCUUGAUGUUUGUCACAAUCACAUUCAAACAAACAUCUCUUUAACUUCAUUUGUCGUUGUCAAUACAGCAUGUAAUGCUGCAAGAUCACAGACAUAGUGGGAGUGUGCUCUUCUGUUGUUAUCUUGCAUUGCCUUCAUUAACUCUUCCCUCUUUGCACUUAAUUUUCAAUUGUUUUUCCCCAACAGUAACAAAUAGAGAAGCCAACCUAUAAUAAAUGAACUAAACCAACAACAACAACAACAAAUUUUUUUAUCUCACUAGAUAAGGUCGGCUACAUGGAUCACACAAUGCCAUUCGGCAUGGUUAAAAGUCAAAGUUUUAGAAAAUUUAAGUCUGAGAUCUCCAUGAUUUCUUCCAAUGUCCUUUUUGGUCUCCCUCUUCUCCUAGUCCCUUUACAAUCCAACAUUCACUACCAUAUACUAUAGCUGAAUAAAUGGACUAAACCAAAGCAACAAUAUGAAUUGAAAACACGGAGAAAGCUUCCUAGUAAACUAUUCUUCCAUUUCUUAUUCAUUCCCUAGUGUUAUGCUAUCAGCUUUAGUCCAAACACUUAAGGAGAUUUGUUUUAAUGUACUUAUCGAGAAAUUACAUAAGUGGGCCCAACACCACGUCUUAACCCACACCCUUUGUAUAAACCUUUUCUGAAUAUUUAACAGCAAGGACUUUUCCCCAGUACACCAAUCUCUCUUUGUAAAUUGUAGCAUAUCUACCAAUGUGUUAACACUCUUCACUAGACUCAGCCACAUCUUGACCACUAUGUUAGUGUUUUACUAGUUGUCACUUGGAUCAGGCCAUGUACCAAGCUUACUUUUUCCAAGAACCAAUUCAUGUGUUACUCACUGCUCCCCAGUCAUCACUGGGCUGCGUGAUCUGCUUGUACUAUAAUUGUCCAAUCAAUUCAAAUCAUCAACUCCGAUACCAUUUCUUGAAUAAUUGUCCAAUCAAUUCAAAUCAUCAACUCCGAUACCACUUGUUCUACCAUUAGGAGUCCAAAAGACGAUCAUCAGUCCUUCCACUUUAUAUGGUCCUAACUAACGAUGUCCUCACAUUCUCCCCUUGCCUGAAUUCCCAACACCCAAAGGGAAAGUGAUUCCUUCUUGAAAAGACUCUAAUAUAAAUCCAAAGUCUGUGCUAAAGUUUUCUUGUAUGAUAGAGACUUAAUACAAAUGAACUAUUGCAGAUUUAGUGUCAUAAAAAAUUCUGUUGAUAUGUGUGCCAAGUGGCUGUCCGACUAAGAAAUAACUGCACAUUUAUUUUUAUGACACCAUUAAUCCACUUACAAAUGAAGUAGGAUUUCAAACAUGUUGGGCGAAUCUUGGGAGUGCCCUUAAAACGUGGACCAAUUUCUUUCAUAAAUUUAUUUAGGCGUGAUCUAGGAUGGCAAAUUUUGAUGGCAGCAUCAUAUCUAUGAAGAUUUUGGUUUGUUUGUUGGAGUGGAACACUCAGACUUUAAAGAGAAUAUCUAAACUUAU